AUUGAACGCUGGCGGUAGGCCUAACACAUGCAAGUCGAACGGCAGCACAGUAAGGGCUUGCUCUUACGGGUGGCGGGUGGCGGACGAGUUCGGAAUACAUCGGAAUGUACUUUUUCGUGGGGGAUAACGUAGGGAAAUUUACGCUAAUACCGCAUAAGACCUACGGGUGAAAGCCGGGGCUCUUCGGACCUUGCGCGAUUGAAUGAGCCGAUGUCGGAUUAGGUAGUUGGCGGGGUAAAGGCCCACCAAGGCGACGAUCCGUAGCUGGUCUGAGAGGAUGAUCAGCCACACUGGAACUGAGACACGGCCCAGACUCCUACGGGAGGCAGCAGUGGGGAAUAUUGGACAAUGGGCGCAAGCCUGAUCCAGCCAUACCGCGUGGGUGAAGAAGGCCUUCGGGUUGUAAAGCGCUUUUGUUGGGAAAGAAAAGCAGCAGGUUAAUACCCCGCUGUUAUGACGGUACCCUAAGAAUAAGCACCGGCUAACUUCGUG
This 492-nucleotide ribosomal RNA is filed under the name uncultured bacterium. RNAcentral's name for it is "partial 16S ribosomal RNA". It matches the Rfam family "Bacterial small subunit ribosomal RNA", at positions 30 to 507 of the family's 1533-position model. The record is from RNAcentral.